Molecule: long non-coding RNA, 890 nt
Organism: Cygnus olor (mute swan)
Lineage: Eukaryota; Metazoa; Chordata; Aves; Anseriformes; Anatidae
Exons: 3
Source: RefSeq, a predicted model, not a curated record
UGUUGUGAUACCAUCCCCUUCCUCACCAGCCAGCAGAGAGAUAGGUAAACUGCAGAGGAGAAAUGUGCCUCCCCAGAGCUGCAGCCAAACUCACCGUGUCUCUCGGGACCAUCAAAGGUGCAGGUAUGCUCUCACAGUGGAACAAACUGAGUGUGAACCUGCCUUUUGCCCACUUGGUGAAGGUGGUGGUUCACUCCUGUGCUCGUGCUGCCUGGAGUGGACAGCGGAGGAAGAGCCAAGACUCAAGGUGAUCUGGAUGUAAAUCAAAAAUGCUGUUCAGGAUCCAAGCUGAAUAGUUCAGGUUUUAAUACAAUAAUAGACAGUUCAAUGUGAAACCAAAACAAAUGUUAAACCUUGGAAGCUGUAUAAAAUUGAAUUGUCAUCAUCUAUCUAGUCAGUUUUUGUUUUAAGCACCUUGAGUCCUAGUGACGACAAUAAGAAAUGAAAAUGCUCAGCUAUUUCAGGAUUCAGCCUAUAGCAGUGUAGGACACACUCAGCACAGGCUGCUGAUUGUGGCCAUCCUUCAUGGCAGUCAUUCAUUAUAUAAUUUCAAAGGUAACUUAAACACGUGCCAGAAAGUUUGGAGAGACUAGUCCUUGGAGAAAUGGGCUCUGGACCAAAUCUUUAUAUUAAUGAUAAUGCUUUAGAAUAAAAUAUUUUUUGGUUCAGAACAUGAGAACAUGUGAGUCUCUCUUUGGCUCUCACCUUUUAAAGAAAGAGAUGAAAUUUAAGUUUUAUGAAAAUUAAUGCAAGUAAUUAAAUGCUAAAACAAUAACAAGUAUAUACUGUUACAGCUCAUGAAAAAUCAUAAGGAAAGGUGAAUGUAUCCAGACAGUUUUUAAUAAAGACUUGAUUCUGUACACACAUUUGUGCAAGUAAUUUUUAAUCAU